Molecule: ribosomal RNA, 413 nt
Filed under: uncultured Clostridium sp.
Lineage: Bacteria; Bacillati; Bacillota; Clostridia; Eubacteriales; Clostridiaceae
Description: bacterial SSU rRNA
Rfam family: Bacterial small subunit ribosomal RNA
Source: RNAcentral
UGGCGGACGGGUGAGAAACACGUGGGUAACCUGCCUCAAAGAGGGGGAUAGCCUUCCGAAAGGAAGAUUAAUACCGCAUAAGCUUACAGCAUCGCAUGAUGCCGUAAGAAAAGGAGUAAUCCGCUUUGAGAUGGACCCGCGGCGCAUUAGCUAGUUGGUGAGGUAACGGUUCACCAAGGCCACGAUGCGUAGCCGACCUGAGAGGGUGAUCGGCCACAUUGGAACUGAGACACGGUCCAGACUCCUACGGGAGGCAGCAGUGGGGAAUAUUGCACAAUGGGCGAAAGCCUGAUGCAGCAACGCCGCGUGAGUGAUGAAGGCUUUCGAGUCGUAAAGCUCUUUGAUCAGGGAUGAUGAUGACAGUACCUGAAAAACAAGCCACGGCUAACUACGUGCCAGCAGCCGCGGUAAUA